This is an unclassified non-coding RNA of Pongo abelii (Sumatran orangutan), 299 nucleotides long. It matches the Rfam family "Metazoan signal recognition particle RNA". From Rfam's summary of the family: The signal recognition particle (SRP) is a universally conserved ribonucleoprotein. It is involved in the co-translational targeting of proteins to membranes. The eukaryotic SRP consists of a 300-nucleotide 7S RNA and six proteins: SRPs 72, 68, 54, 19, 14, and 9. NCBI's taxonomy places the organism in Eukaryota, Metazoa, Chordata, Mammalia, Primates, Hominidae. The record is from Ensembl.
GCCAGGUGCAGUAACAUGUGCCUGUAGUCCCAGCUAUUUGGGAGGCUGAGGCAGGAGGAUCCCUUGAGCCCAGGAGUUCUGAGCUAUAGUAUGCUCAGUGAUUGAAUGUCUGAACUAAGUUUGCUAUCAAUAUGGUGACCUCCCAGGAGUAGGGGGCCACCAGAUUGCCUAAGGAGGGAUGAAACGACCCAGGCUGGAAAUGGAGGAGGUCAAAACUACUGUACUGAUCAGUACUGGGAUUGCACCUGUGAACAGCAAAUGCAUUCCAGCCUGGGCAACAUAACAAGACCCCAGCUCUU